RNAcentral lists this ribosomal RNA (2967 nucleotides) under Bacteroides xylanisolvens. RNAcentral describes it as "bacterial LSU rRNA". It matches the Rfam family "Bacterial large subunit ribosomal RNA". The record is from RNAcentral. Lineage: Bacteria; Pseudomonadati; Bacteroidota; Bacteroidia; Bacteroidales; Bacteroidaceae.
GAAAGUAAGCAAGGGCGCAUGGCGGAUGCCUUGGCUCUCGGAGGCGAUGAAGGACGUGAUAAGCUGCGAUAAGCUUCGGGUAGGUGCAAAUAACCUUUGAUCCGAAGAUUUCCGAAUGGGACAACCCGUCAUUCUGAAGGAAUGACAUCUUGCAUAGCAAGAGGCUAACGCAGGGAACUGAAACAUCUUAGUACCUGCAGGAAAAGAAAAUAAUAAUGAUUCCCCAAGUAGUGGCGAGCGAACGGGGAUUAGCCCAAACCAAUGUUGUUACGGCAAUAUUGGGGUUGUAGGACCACGAUGUCGCAAGAACUUUAGUGAGAAGAAUUCUUUGGAAAAUGAAACCAUAGACGGUGAUAGUCCGGUAUUCGAAGCUAAACGAAGCGUAGUGGUAUCCUGAGUAGCGCGGGACACGAGGAAUCUUGCGUGAAUCUGCCGGGACCAUCCGGUAAGGCUAAAUACUCCCGAGAGACCGAUAGCGAACCAGUACUGUGAAGGAAAGGUGAAAAGCACUUCGAAUAGAAGAGUGAAAUAGUCCCUGAAACCGUGCGCCUACAAGCGGUCGGAGCAGCGUAAGUUGUGACGGCGUGCCUUUUGCAUAAUGAACCUACGAGUUACUUUUUCCGGCAAGGUUAAGCAUUUAAAAAUGUGUAGCCGAAGCGAAAGCGAGUCUGAACAGGGCGAUUAGUCGGAAGGAGUAGACGCGAAACCAAGUGAUCUACCCUUGGUCAGGUUGAAGGUUAGGUAACACUAACUGGAGGACCGAACCGAUAAGCGUUGAAAAGCUUCCGGAUGAACUGAGGGUGGGGGUGAAAGGCUAAUCAAACUUGGAGAUAGCUCGUACUCCCCGAAAUGCAUUUAGGUGCAGCCUUGGGAAUUACUACUGUGAGGUAGAGCGACUGAUAAGAUGCGAGGGCUUCACCGCCUAUCAAGUCUUGAUAAACUCCGAAUGCGCAGUAGUUCGAUCCCAGGAGUGAGGGCAUGGGUGCUAAGGUCCAUGUCCUAAAGGAGAAGAAUCCGGACCAUCAGCUAAGGUCCCGAAAUAAUUGCUAAGUUGAACUAACGAAGUCAGAUUGCUAAGACAGCUAGGAUGUUGGCUUGGAAGCAGCCAUUCAUUUAAAGAGUGCGUAACAGCUCACUAGUCGAGGAGUUUGGCGUGGAUAAUAAUCGGGCAUUAAGCAAUUUACCGAAGCUAUGGGAUCAGUAAUGAUCGGUAGGGGAGCAUUCCACUCUGCGUCGAAGGUGAAGCGUGAGCUUUGCUGGAGCGUGUGGAAAAGCAAAUGUAGGUAUAAGUAACGAUAAAGGGGGUGAGAAACCCCCUCGCCGAAAGACUAAGGUUUCCUGAUCAACGCUAAUCGGAUCAGGGUUAGUCGGGUCCUAAGGCUCAGCCGAACGGUGAGGCCGAUGGCAGAACAGGUUAAUAUUCCUGUACUACCUUAAGGAGUGACGUGGAGACGGAGCAGUGAUAGCGCCGCGGACUGACGGAAUAGUCCGUUGAAGGGUGUAGAUGUUGAUCUUUGCAGGCAAAUCCACAAAGAGAGUCGAACCUGAUAGUAUACCAAAUUCUUCGGAAUAAGGUAAUAGUGCGUGUAAACAUACUCCCAAGAAAAUCCGCUAAACUUAAUCUUUAAGGUACNNNNNNNNNNGGAACGUUCUUCGGAACAAUCCAAUAGUGCGUGUAAGCAUACUCCCAAGAAAAUCCGCUAAACUUAAUCUUUAAGGUACCCGUACCGCAAACGGACACACGUAGUCGGGUUGAAUAUACUAAGGCGCUUGAGUGAUUCACGGUUAAGGAACUAGGCAAAUUGACCCUGUAACUUCGGGAUAAAGGGUCCCAACGAGAGUUGGGCGCAGAGAAUAGGUCCAGGCAACUGUUUAACAAAAACACAGGGCUGUGCUAAAUUGAAAGAUUACGUAUACAGCCUGACACCUGCCCGGUGCUGGAAGGUUAAGAGGAGAUGUCAUCGCAAGAGAAGCAUUGAAUUGAAGCCCCAGUAAACGGCGGCCGUAACUAUAACGGUCCUAAGGUAGCGAAAUUCCUUGUCGGGUAAGUUCCGACCUGCACGAAUGGUGUAAUGAUCUGGACACUGUCUCAACCGUGAGCUCAGUGAAAUUGUAGUAUCGGUGAAGAUGCCGAUUACCCGCGAUGGGACGAAAAGACCCCGUGAACCUUUACUAUAGCUUAACAUUGAAUUUGGGUAAUUGAUGUGUAGGAUAGGCCGGAGACUUUGAAUCAGGUACGCCAGUAUUUGUGGAGUCGCUGUUGAAAUACGGCCCUUUGAUUAUUUGAGUUCUAACUCGUAGAUGCGAGGACACUGUUUGGUGGGUAGUUUGACUGGGGUGGUCGCCUCCAAAAGUGUAACGGAGGCUUCUAAAGGUGCCCUCAGGACGAUUGGUAACCGUCCGUAGAGUGUAAUGGCAUAAGGGCGCUUGACUGGGAGACAGACAAGUCGAUCAGGUAGGAAACUAGAGCAUAGUGAUCCGGUGUUUCCGCAUGGAAGGGACAUCGCUCAAAGGAUAAAAGGUACUCCGGGGAUAACAGGCUGAUCCCUCCCAAGAGCUCAUAUCGACGGAGGGGUUUGGCACCUCGAUGUCGGCUCGUCACAUCCUGGGGCUGGAGAAGGUCCCAAGGGUUGGGCUGUUCGCCCAUUAAAGUGGCACGCGAGCUGGGUUCAGAACGUCGUGAGACAGUUCGGUCUCUAUCUAUCGUGGGCGUAUGAAAUUUGCGUGGCUCUGACACUAGUACGAGAGGACCGUGUUGGACUGACCGCUGGUUUACCAGUUGUGCCGCCAGGUGCAUCGCUGGGUAUCUAAGUCGGGAUUGGAUAAGUGCUGAAAGCAUCUAAGUACGAAGCCAGCCACAAGAUUAGAUUUCUUAGGGUCGUUAAAGACGAUGACGUUGAUAGGAUGCAGGUGUAAAGGUGGUAACAUCAAAGCCGAGCAUUACUAAUUGCCCGUUCACUUUCUUUC